CAACCACAUAUCACAAACAGAUCUCGAAUCGUAAGAAGUACAAACUAAAUCAUCAUCAUCUACUGCUGCCGGACAACAAACACCAUGAAUCGUGUGUUGAUCAUCAUCCUUGUCGUCGCGGUUAUUGGCAUGCACUUUGGCGCUGAUGGGGCGGCCAACGGUGAGAAGAAGCUACAAACUCGGGCUGAUAUUUUGGACCAUGUGAAAAACUUUGGCAAAAAGAUAAAAAGUGGUGCGACGAAAGUUAGCCAUGCUAUCCAAAACGGCGUGAAGAAAGUAGGCAAAAUGGCUAAGAAUGGCAUAAAGAAAGGCAUGAAAAAAUUGAAUAAUGUGGUCCAAAAAUUAUAAAGAGAAAAACAACUAACGAUCCAAAAGCAAUAGCAUGUACCUCCCGUUUUUAUUGCGUACAUUGAAAGUUCAUUGAAAUCAACAAGCGUUUGUUUAAUAAUUAAUUACUAUGAGAUGACGACCGACUCGCAAAAGUAUGCUUUGACCGUGUGACCGUAAAUCAAAAGGCUCCAGAUUAGAAGUUUUAUUUUCUGUUCAUCUCAUAUCACAAUGAUAAACAGUACAAUAACAAAUAUGGAAUUCGUAAUUCAUGCGAGUGCAAGAAGAAUUACGCAACAUGUUGUUUGCCGAAGCGAGAAUGGUAAUCAUGCUGGUGACCACUGACAUAUGACGACAUAUAUUUUUCUUUCAUGUUUACGAAAAAGCGACAUUCGGCUUGGUACUUUUGGUAUGACGGUCACACAUCUGUUAUAAACUUCUAAGACUUUAUCUGUGACACUUUUACAGCCAAAUAGAUCUAAGCCUAUCAAA
Lineus longissimus is the source of this 819-nucleotide long non-coding RNA. RefSeq lists it as uncharacterized. The record is from RefSeq and is a predicted model, not a curated record. Lineage: Eukaryota; Metazoa; Nemertea; Pilidiophora; Heteronemertea; Lineidae. The transcript is spliced from 3 exons.